This 304-nucleotide ribosomal RNA is filed under the name uncultured soil bacterium. Its description in RNAcentral is "bacterial SSU rRNA". It matches the Rfam family "Bacterial small subunit ribosomal RNA", at positions 26 to 335 of the family's 1533-position model. The record is from RNAcentral.
AGAUUGAACGCUGGCGGCAGGCCUAACACAUGCAAGUCGAGCGGUAGAGAGAAGCUUGCUUCUCUUGAGAGCGGCGGACGGGUGAGUAAUGCCUAGGAAUCUGCCUAGUGGUGGGGGAUAACGUUCGGAAACGGACGCUAAUACCGCAUACGUCCUACGGGAGAAAGGCGGGGACCUUCGGGCCUCGCGCCAUUAGAUGAGCCUAGGUCGGAUUAGCUAGUUGGUGAGGUAAAGCUCACAAGGCGACGAUCCGUAACUGGUCUGAGAGGAUGAUCAGUCACACUGGAACUGGACGACGACCGGU